This 72-nucleotide transfer RNA is filed under the name Microcaldota archaeon. Its description in RNAcentral is "Candidatus Micrarchaeota archaeon (hot springs metagenome) tRNA-Asn". It matches the Rfam family "tRNA". From Rfam's summary of the family: Transfer RNA (tRNA) molecules are approximately 80 nucleotides in length. Their secondary structure includes four short double-helical elements and three loops (D, anti-codon, and T loops). Lineage: Archaea; Nanobdellati; Microcaldota. RNAcentral also lists the same sequence under 1 other name. The record is from RNAcentral.
GCCCUGGUAGCUCAGAGGUAGAGCGUCCGGCUGUUAACCGGAAGGUCGCAGGUUCGAAUCCUGCCCAGGGCG